UAUGACUCCCAAGGCAAAAUAAGCCUACACUACCAAAGCCCACAGGUAUCGCAACAGUAGCAAGUGGGUAGGGAUGAAGUUCCUGGUGUGCGUUCAAUAGGAUUAGGUGAGGCUGUAGGUUUUUGGGAGGGAGUCAGUUUAUACAUCUUCUGUUCGAAUUGUGGGUUAAACCCGGGUCUUCACCCGGUCCGGUCCGGCUCUUCGGACCCUUCCCAUGAAGAAACCAAACAAACUUACUGAUAUUUAGAGAUGAAAAGUCUUGAAAGUUGAAACAAAGGAGACGCCAAAACCCUGGUACUUGCUACUUGUUUCCUUCAAUUUCUGCAUUUUAUCGAAACGUAGGCACAAUGAGUAUCAUAAGUGGGUGUGCGAGCAUUAAAGCUUCAUAGCAACGAGGAUUCCAAGAAGUUUAUGCCUGAAUUGAAGAUUCCUGAAUUGGAGAUUCCUGAAUGGGGAACCUGCUCUUCCAACCGAAACGUGUCAAUGGAUUUGUAAAUCCGUUGAGGAUGUUUGUUAAUUUGAUAUUGACUACUAUGGUAUUGAAUUUCUGGAGUUUCAAUGUUUCAAUAAUGUUAUUUUCCUUUUAUUGA
Molecule: long non-coding RNA, 590 nt
Organism: Arachis ipaensis
Lineage: Eukaryota; Viridiplantae; Streptophyta; Magnoliopsida; Fabales; Fabaceae
Source: RefSeq, a predicted model, not a curated record